GACGAACGCUGGCGGCGUGCUUAACACAUGCAAGUCGAGGGGUCUGGCUUCGGCCAGGCACCGGCGAACGGGUGCGUAACACGUGAGCAACCUGCCCGCUUGUGGGGGAUAGCCGGCCCA
RNAcentral lists this ribosomal RNA (120 nucleotides) under uncultured bacterium. RNAcentral describes it as "partial 16S ribosomal RNA". It matches the Rfam family "Bacterial small subunit ribosomal RNA", at positions 28 to 154 of the family's 1533-position model. The record is from RNAcentral.